ACAGUGGCAGGGGAGACACCUUGAUCAUGAAGGAGGUUUUCCCAGGGUGAGGCUCAGCCAUUUCAUUCCAUCUGUGCUGACUCCUGCGAUUUCCCCAAAAGGGGAAAACUCAACUGCUUAAUUUGUGGUAGUGGGGAACUGCAUGCACACUUAAA
RNAcentral lists this small nuclear RNA (155 nucleotides) under Salvator merianae (Argentine black and white tegu). Its description in RNAcentral is "U1 spliceosomal RNA (ENSSMRG00000006652.1)". It matches the Rfam family "U1 spliceosomal RNA". Rfam says of the family: U1 is a small nuclear RNA (snRNA) component of the spliceosome (involved in pre-mRNA splicing). Lineage: Eukaryota; Metazoa; Chordata; Lepidosauria; Squamata; Teiidae. The record is from Rfam by way of RNAcentral.